GGUUGUAUGGUGUAAUGGUUAGCACUCUGGACUCUGAAUCCAGCGAUCCGAGUUCAAAUCUUGGUAGGACCU
RNAcentral lists this transfer RNA (72 nucleotides) under Danionella translucida. It matches the Rfam family "tRNA". From Rfam's summary of the family: Transfer RNA (tRNA) molecules are approximately 80 nucleotides in length. Their secondary structure includes four short double-helical elements and three loops (D, anti-codon, and T loops). RNAcentral also lists the same sequence under 1 other name. The record is from Rfam by way of RNAcentral. Lineage: Eukaryota; Metazoa; Chordata; Actinopteri; Cypriniformes; Danionidae.